UCAAUGCCUAUUAAGAUACUCAACAUUGAGUCAUAGUUGAAGUCCACAGAAGAUGUACAAAUUCACUUGAUGUUACUUCAUGAGUACAAUUAGGAUUCUUAUGUAAAGUGACAAGCUCCUCAAUGCCUAUUAAGAUACUCAACAGUGAGUCAUAAUUGAACUCCACAGAAGAUGUACAAGUUCACCUCAUGUUACUUCAUGAGUACAAUUAGGAUUCUCAUGUAAAGUGACUAGCUCCUCAAUGCCUAUUAAGAUACUCAACAUUGAGUCAUAGCUGAAGUCCACAGAACAUGUACAAGUUUACUUGAUGUUACUUUAUUGGUACAAUUAAGAGUCAUAUGUAGUAGGCUAGGUCUAAAAUCAUCAUGAAUAUUCAUUACAGUAAUAACUGAAGCAAAAGAAACAAUACAAUUUUGGAAUCAAUUUGAAUGCAGCAAGCAUAUUGCAGCUCCUAUGCAAAUGCAGCCAUGGUCUCAGAAUCGAUAGAAACCAGGACAUUAACGUAAAUCCAGAGAAACGUUGUACUUAGCCUCAAAGUAGCCCAUGGUGCAGCAUGCUGCAUCCACGACAAUGACGUUAACACGCGCGCUUAGCUGCAUCCUGGUGGCUGGCUAUACACAAAGUGCAUCUGCCGCUUGUUGUUGGGUGCAUCCUCUCUACGCGGGAAGGAUUCUGUACGCGAAUCGAGCUCCCAGGGAAUUUCGGGGACGCGUUGCUCGAAAAUGAUUGCAUUAGCGAAAUAAUUGAAGCUGUCCUACUCCGCACGCGUGGCCGUUCUCCCUGUCUUCGUAAUUACCUGAUACAACGUGGCGAGGAUGAGAAAAUGAAAUUGCGAGGGGUGGUACUUGCUGUUCAGGAAAUUAAAAGCGAAACGCGUUGUUGUCAAACGAUUUUAACAGAUUGCAGAUUGACGGUCCAAGUAGAUUAGGAUCUAAGUUUCGACCUAACUUAUUAAUGGAAUUAAGAGCUUGUGGACUGACUCUUGGAUGUGAUACUUUGAUUUAGAUCCUAGAUGCUACAUCUGGAUUUAGGUAUCUUGUACUGUAAUGUGGACUGGCCCUUAGAUGUGAUGUCAGGAUGUGAUACUCUGAUCUAGAUACUACAUCUGGGUGUAGACCUCUUGUACUGUCAUAUGAACUAGCUCUUAGAUGUGAGACUUUGAUCUAGAUCUUAGAUACUACAUCUGGGUGUAGACUUCUUGUACUAUAAUAUGGACUGACUCUUAAAUGCCAGGAGCAUAGGAUGUGAUAUUUUGAGUUAGGCUCCAGAUACUAGAUCUGGGUGUAGUCUUCUUCUACUAUAAUAUGGACUGACUCUUAAAUGUCAGGAGCAUGGGAGUGAUAUUUUGAGUUAGGCUCCAGAUACUACAUCUGGGUGUAGACUUCUUGUACUAUAAUAUGGACUGACUCUUAAAUGUCAGGAGCAUGGGAGUGAUAUUUUGAGUUAGGCUCCAGAUACUACAUCUGGGUGUAGACUUCUUGUACUAUAAUAUGGACUGAUUCUUAAAUGUGAGGAGCAUGGGAGUGAUAUUUUGAGUUAGGCUCCAGAUACUACAUCUGGGUGUAGACUUCUUGUACUAUAAUAUGGACUGACUCUUAAAUGUCAGGAGCAUAGGAUGCGAUAUUUUGAAUCAGGCUCCAGAUACUAGAUCUGGGUUCAGACAUAGAUCCACACCUAAAUUCAAGUUCACAGUAAAUGUGGAUUUGUCAUUGUAGUGGUCUCGCUAGACACCAGGGUGUCUUUAGUAGCCAGACAUAAUGAUCAUGGGAAAACUGUGGACUAUGAGCAUUUGCAAUGGACAUGUCCUAUAACGUUCUGCAAGCGGGCGCUAUACGCAGCGAUGGUUUACAGGAGAAUGCAGUAGUUAUUAACGGAAUAAAAGCUCGUUUCGCCGGCGGUCGCUUUCA
Molecule: long non-coding RNA, 1907 nt
Filed under: Megachile rotundata (alfalfa leafcutting bee)
Lineage: Eukaryota; Metazoa; Arthropoda; Insecta; Hymenoptera; Megachilidae
Description: uncharacterized LOC105662262
Source: RNAcentral